CACGUAGGGUGCGAGCGUUGUCCGGAAUUAUUGGGCGUAAAGAGCUCGUAGGCGGUGUGUCGCGUCGGCCGUGAAAACCUGCAGCUUAACUGUGGGCUUGCGGUCGAUACGGGCAUCACUGGAGUUCGGCAGGGGAGACUGGAAUUCCUGGUGUAGCGGUGAAAUGCGCAGAUAUCAGGAGGAACACCGGUGGCGAAGGCGGGUCUCUGGGCCGAUACUGAC
Molecule: ribosomal RNA, 222 nt
Filed under: uncultured bacterium
Lineage: Bacteria
Description: partial 16S ribosomal RNA
Rfam family: Bacterial small subunit ribosomal RNA
Source: RNAcentral